GAUGAAGAACGUAGCGAAAUGCGAUAAGUAAUGUGAAUUGCAGAAUUCAGUGAAUCAUCGAAUCUUUGAACGCACAUUGCGCCCGCCAGCAUUCUGGCGGGCAUGCCUGUUCGAGCGUCAUUUCAACCCUCGAGCCCCCCCCGGGGGCCUCGGUGUUGGGGGACGGCACACCAGCCGCCCCCGAAAUGCAGUGGCGACCCCGCCGCAGCCUCCCCUGCGUAGUAGCACACACCUCGCACCGGAGCGCGGAGGCGGUCACGCCGUAAAACGCCCAACUUUCUUAGAGUUGACCUCGGAUCAGGUAGGAAUACCCGCUGAACUUAAGCAUAUCAAUAAGCGGAGGA
RNAcentral lists this unclassified non-coding RNA (344 nucleotides) under soil metagenome. Its description in RNAcentral is "partial contains 5.8S ribosomal RNA, internal transcribed spacer 2, and large subunit ribosomal RNA". The stretch from base 1 to 120 matches the Rfam family "5.8S ribosomal RNA", at positions 35 to 154 of the family's 154-position model. The record is from RNAcentral.